Molecule: RNA transcript, 4769 nt
Organism: Morus notabilis
Lineage: Eukaryota; Viridiplantae; Streptophyta; Magnoliopsida; Rosales; Moraceae
Gene name: protein FLOWERING LOCUS D
Exons: 6
Source: RefSeq, a predicted model, not a curated record
UCGUUUUCAUAAAAGUUAAAGUUGACGAAUUUUAGUGCGGCAAGCGUAAACUCGGAAACCAAACAGUUCCUUCUCGAUCAACACGGUCUCUCACCUUCCCGCCGGGAAACACCACCGGUACGGAUUCCAUGGACCCGCCCGAUGAUAUCGCCGAUCAAUUUUCUCUGUUCCCUCCCAUCCCAUUCACUCUUUACGAUCCCCACGAAAUCCCCAAUCCCGAACCUAUUCCUGGUUUUCUUCCUAACUUCAACCCUAACCCUAACCAGAAUUCGGAUCCAACUUCAUUCCCGAGCUCAAGCCAAGUUUCCGAAACUGGCUCAAGCCACAUUCUCUCUUUCUCGAUCCCCAAGAAGCGACGGCGAGGCAGGCCGCAGCGCAGUUCGACGUCGUUCAACAUUGCUCAUUUUCCUAAUGGGACUGACUUAAACCCCAACGGUAAUGAUUUCACUUCUGCUUCUUCUAAUUCCAUUUCAGUCAAUUCAAUCAGGAACAAUGUAGGAAACGCUAAUUCUUUACCCCGCGCUGCGCCCGAUACUUCCGACGAGAUCAUCGUGAUCAACAGAGAAUCCACGGCUGAAGCAGUGGUUGCGCUUACUGCCGGUUUCCCGGCCGAUUCCCUAACCGAUGAAGAAAUCGACGCCGGGGUUCUCCCCGUCAUCGGGGGAAUUGAACAGGUCAAUUACAUUCUAAUUCGGAACCACAUUAUCGCGAAAUGGCGCGAGAACGUGUCUAAUUGGGUUACCAAGGAGAUGUUUGUUGAUACUAUACCCAAACAUUGUCACACACUUUUAGACUCUGCUUACAAUUAUCUUGUUUCACAUGGAUAUAUUAAUUUUGGGGUUGCACCGGCUAUCAAGGAGAAGAUUCCUUCCGAACCCAGUAAGCCGAAUGUGGUUGUGAUUGGUGCUGGCCUUGCGGGUCUAGCCGCUGCGAGGCAAAUGAUGCGUGUCGGGUUUAAAGUGACUGUAUUGGAGGGAAGGAAGCGCGCAGGUGGGCGGGUUUAUACGAAGAAAAUGGAGGGGGGAAAUAGGGUAUUCGCGGCAGCAGAUUUAGGUGGGAGUGUUUUGACAGGUACAUUAGGAAACCCUCUUGGGAUUGUUGCAAGGCAAUUGGGUUCAACCUUUCAUAAGGUGAGAGACAAGUGCCCGUUGUAUAGUUCGGAGGGGAAGCCUGUAGACCAUGACAUGGAUAUGAAGGUGGAAUAUGAUUUUAACCAUCUUCUGGAUAAAGCGAGUAGGCUUAGGCAGUUGAUGGGGGAUGUAUCAGUUGAUGUUUCUCUUGGCGCGGCCUUGGAAACGUUCAGACAGGUUUAUGGGGAUGAUGUAGAUGCUGAGGAAAUGAAGUUGUUCAAUUGGCAUCUUGCAAAUUUAGAAUAUGCGAAUGCAGGCUUAAUAUCAAAGCUUUCACUUGCGUUUUGGGACCAAGAUGACCCGUACGAUAUGGGAGGUGAUCAUUGCUUCUUGCCUGGAGGGAAUGGAAGGCUGGUUCAGGCCUUGGCGGAGAAUGUUCCAAUUUUGUAUGAGAAAACUGUGAACACAAUUAGGUAUGGUAACCAUGGGGUGCAAGUAGUAGCUGGCAACCAGGUUUUUGAGUGUGAUAUGGCAUUGUGCACUGUGCCUCUUGGGGUUUUGAAAAGUGGGUCCAUCAAAUUUAUUCCAGAGUUGCCUCAGAGAAAGCUUGAUGGGAUAAAGAGAUUAGGAUUUGGAUUGCUGAAUAAGGUUGCAAUGCUUUUUCCUCACGCGUUUUGGGGUACAGAUCUUGAUACCUUUGGACACCUUUCUGAUGAUCCCAGCCGUCGAGGGGAAUUUUUUCUAUUUUACAGUUAUGCUACAGUUGCUGGCGGUCCUCUCUUGAUUGCUUUAGUGGCAGGGGAAGCAGCACAUAAGUUUGAGUGCAUGCCUCCUACUGAUGCAGUAACACUGGUUCUUCAAAUUCUCAAGGGUAUAUAUGAACCACAAGGAAUAAAUGUCCCAGAGCCUAUUCAAACCGUAUGUACCAGAUGGGGAAGUGAUCCUUUUAGCCUAGGUUCUUAUUCUAAUGUUGCAGUUGGGGCAUCAGGAGACGACUAUGAUAUUUUAGCAGAAAGUGUUGGAGAUGGGAGACUAUUCUUUGCAGGGGAGGCCACCACCAGGCGGUACCCUGCAACUAUGCAUGGGGCUUUUCUUACUGGGCUGAGGGAAGCUGCAAAUAUGGCUCACCAUGCUAAUGCUCGAUCUUUGAAGAUAAAAGUUGGAAGGAAUCCAUCAAAGAAUGCCCACUCUUGUGCUUCUCUUCUUGCAGAUUUAUUUAGGGAGCCUGAUUUAGAAUUCGGGAGUUUUUCUAUUAUCUUUGGUCGUAAAAAUGCUGAUCCAAAGUCACCGGCAAUUUUAAGAGUGACAUUUAAUGAACCGCGAAAGAAGAGUCAUGAAGGUUCAAAACCUGACCAACAACAUUCAAAUAAGUUGCUUUUCCAGCAGCUUCAAUCACACUUUAAUCAGCAGCAACAGCUGCAUGUUUACACUUUGUUGUCAAGGCAACAGGCACUUGAGCUGAGAGAAGUAAGAGGAGGUGAUGAGAUGAGGUUAAAUUACCUAUGUGAAAAACUUGGAGUGAAAUUGGUGGGAAGAAAAGGUUUGGGGUCUACUGCUGAUUCUGUUAUUGCUGCCAUAAAAGCUCAGAGAGGAAAUCGGAAACCUACUUCAACUUCUGGUAAGACAAGUACGUCAAAGCUGAAAACUGGCACUUUAAAACGGAAGUUGGUCAGAAGGGCUAAAGUAGUGGGAAAGAGAAAUGGGUUGGCCACUCCUCCCAAUUCAAAUUUCGUAAAUGGAAAAGUCUCGGAGGAAACUAGGACUGUGCAUCAAGCAUCUUCUACUACUCUGGGGCCAGGGCAGGGUGACAUGUUAAAGCAAUGAAUGGAUCACCUCUUCUUGUCGAGAAGUGAGAUCCCUUUAAUUGACAGUGAAAGCGGUUCUUGGAGAUUACUAUGUUUUACCCAGCUUUUUCAGUUUAUUAUGCUGGGUAUGGUCCUUUUAGACGCAAAUUCAUUCGAUCACCUUGGCACUUGUUAUUUCUUCUCUCUCCUUUUUUUGGAUUGAUCACAAUUCAACGGUGGUAAACUGGCACUGUUAUACUGUGGCGAUAUGUACUCUUCCUUACAGAAGCACUAUACUGCUGACACGUUUACUUUGGUCGGUUACAAGAUCAAUCAGCCUGGUGAAUAACUGAAUUACUGCAAUCGUUGUUUUGAAAUUGGCUUAAUUAACUGGACUUGGUUACUGUUAGCCCCUUAGACUCGGAGAGGCACGGUGGCAUGGUGGCUGGUGCAUCAUGGCCACUGGCCUAGGCACCAAGGCAUGCUGGCAGGGGCAGCAUGGCCUUGAGCCAAGACUUGGCUGGUCAGGAUGAUCAGCAUCGUAGGCACAUGGCGCGGUGUGAGUGCUGAGCUGUCCUUGUUGGGUGUUCGAGUGUGCAUGGAGCUCAGCCGUCUGGCGCAGUGACUUGGCUGUGUGCCUAGUCAGCACGCCAGGUGGCAUGGGGCGCCACAAAACUCGGAAGGAAGUGUGGCUUAGCGCGUGUGAUGGGCGGUUACUAGUGGUUACUGGCCUUUGUGGCGUGCAGAUGAGACUUGGAGCCUCUGGGGCAGAUAAGGUCGACAGAUGGCACAGUGCAUGGGCAGACAGCAUAUCUGGCAGUUACGCUGACUAGCCAGACACACCCAGAUGGCCCUGGCUGGUUAGCCUAGGCGGUUGGGGGUUGUCAACCGGAUCUGUAUGGCUUAUAUUCACAAUUAUGUGCAGUGAAAUGGGCAAUGUCAUGAUCCUGCAAAGUCUGUAAACACUUUGUAUUCCUUUAUUGAGAGAAAAAUAAAGGUUGGGAGGGGAUUUCCCGUAUAUUGUGUACCUUAUGUUUCUGAUUGUUGCUGGUUGCUUUUCUACGUGUGAUUGCUGAUUCAUUUGUGCUGACUGAAUGAGGAUCACUUAGGCCAUCACGGUGGUGCAACUUUGUGUGAAUAAUUAGCCCUGUGACGGUUAGCAUGGUCCACAUAUUUGGCACUAGGCCACAGAUGAAGCACAGCAGCACGUUCCUGUGUAAUAGAGUACCUACUAGCCUCGGCAUAUCAAGUUCAUUGCGCUGUGGGAGAGUAGUUCCCGCUCAAUGAUGAAGUUUUAAAUAGGAUCCUAGUAACUCUUGAUGCUUGAACAGGAAUAGAAGCACGAUUCUCCUCCCAGGUAUUCAUCAUUUUCUUCAUCACAAGUGCACAGUUACAGCCUAAAGGUGUAAGCUAUUAAGCCGAAAAAGAUUUGUAUCCAAUCUCCUCGCACUUCAUCAGGGAGAUUAUAACAUGAUGUUAGGAUUUACUGUUGUUUACCUUUACUUUGAGCUGGGUUGCAACUUGCACGGCUUGGAAUCAGUAACUAUCUUGAAUCUUCUGUAAUUCGGAAAUUAUUUUGACUUAUGAACCAUGGUAACUCCAGGACGCUUGAUGUGCAAGUUCCACAGCUUUUGUUUCCCGUGGAAUACUGGUCAAUUUGUUUCAUUUUUGGUAACUAUUUCUCUCCGUUCCUUAAAUGAGGUCGGAGAUAUACUUUUUCAUGUACGUGAUUCUAGGGGACUUGGUGUUUAGAUUUCGUAUUGAUGUACAUUCAGAUUCCUAAAACAAUCAAAUGAAAAUGAUUGUCAUACGUUUGUAAAAUGAGCAGAUAUUGCAGUUGAAUUUGCCUAGAGCAACUGAUGUAUCAUUAUUGUCAUUCUCUGAGGUUGGUUGGUCACCAAAAAAAAUAAUAAUA